This 254-nucleotide ribosomal RNA is filed under the name uncultured bacterium. RNAcentral describes it as "partial 16S ribosomal RNA". It matches the Rfam family "Bacterial small subunit ribosomal RNA", at positions 524 to 777 of the family's 1533-position model. The record is from RNAcentral.
UACGUAGGGUGCAAGCGUUAAUCGGAAUUACUGGGCGUAAAGCGUGCGCAGGCGGUUAUGCAAGACAGAGGUGAAAUCUCCGGGCUUAACUCGGAACGGUCAAGUGAUACUGUCGGACUAGAGUACAGAAGGGGCAACUGGAAUUCUCGGUGUAGCGGUGAAAUGCGUAGAUAUCGAGAGGAACACCUGCGGCGAAGGCGGGUUGCUGGGCUGAUACUGACGCUGAGGCGCGAAAGCCAGGGGAGCGAACGGGG